AGCCUUUGACAUGUCCCGUAUGGACCUUGGAGACAGGGUCCUUCAGUUCGGCUGGCGGGAACACAGGUGCUGCAUGGCUGUCGUCAGCUCGUGUCGUGAGAUGUUGGGUUAAGUCCCGCAACGAGCGCAACCCUCGCCCUUAGUUGCCAUCCUUCAGUGGGGCACUCUAAGGGGACUGCCGGUGAUAAGCCGCGAGGAAGGUGGGGAUGACGUCAAGUCCUCAUGGCCCUUACGGGCUGGGCUACACACGUGCUACAAUGGCGGUGACAAUGGGCAGCCAACCCGCGAGGGGGAGCUAAUCCCAAAAAGCCGUCUCAGUUCAGAUUGCACUCUGCAACUCGAGUGCAUGAAGGCGGAAUCGCUAGUAAUCGUGGAUCAGAACGCCACGG
Molecule: ribosomal RNA, 389 nt
Filed under: uncultured Microvirga sp.
Lineage: Bacteria; Pseudomonadati; Pseudomonadota; Alphaproteobacteria; Hyphomicrobiales; Methylobacteriaceae
Description: bacterial SSU rRNA
Rfam family: Bacterial small subunit ribosomal RNA
Source: RNAcentral